RNAcentral lists this ribosomal RNA (529 nucleotides) under Ceraeochrysa cubana. Its description in RNAcentral is "partial large subunit ribosomal RNA". It matches the Rfam family "Bacterial large subunit ribosomal RNA", at positions 1808 to 2606 of the family's 2925-position model. The record is from RNAcentral. Lineage: Eukaryota; Metazoa; Arthropoda; Insecta; Neuroptera; Chrysopidae.
CAAAAACAUGUCUUUUUGUUAAAAAUAUAAAGUCUAACCUGCCCACUGAUAAUUAUUAAAGGGCCGCGGUAUAUUGACUGUGCAAAGGUAGCAUAAUCAUUUGUCUCUUAAUUGGAGGCUGGAAUGAAUGGUUGAAUGAAAUAUUAACUGUCUCAUUAUUAAAAAAAUAAAAAUUUAGCUUUUAAGUUAAAAGGCUUAAAUUAUUUUAGAGGACGAGAAGACCCUAUAGAUCUUUAUAUUUAUAAUAAUUUAAUAAUUUGAAUUAUAUUAAUUAAUUUAUGAAUAAAUAUUUUGUUGGGGUGAUAGGAAAAUUUAAUAAACUUUUUUUAAUUUAAAACAUUGAUUUAUGAAUAAUUGAUCCAUUUUUAGUGAUUAUAAGAUUAAGUUACCUUAGGGAUAACAGCGUAAUUUUUUUAGAGAGUUCAUAUCGAUAAAAAAGAUUGCGACCUCGAUGUUGAAUUAAAGGUUAUUUCUAGAUGUAGCAGUUUAGAGUUUAGGUCUGUUCGACCUUUGAAUCUUUACAUGAUCU